UACGGGGGGGGCAAGCGUUGUUCGGAAUUACUGGGCGUAAAGGGCGCGUAGGCGGCCUGCUAAGUCGAACGUGAAAUCCCUGGGCUCAACCCAGGAACUGCGUCCGAUACUGGUUGGCUUGAAUCCGGGAGAGGGACGCGGAAUUCCAGGUGUAGCGGUGAAAUGCGUAGAUAUCUGGAGGAACACCGGUGGCGAAGGCGACGUCCUGGACCGGCAUUGACGCUGAGGCGCGAAGGCCAGGGGAGCAAACGGG
RNAcentral lists this ribosomal RNA (253 nucleotides) under uncultured bacterium. RNAcentral describes it as "partial 16S ribosomal RNA". It matches the Rfam family "Bacterial small subunit ribosomal RNA", at positions 524 to 776 of the family's 1533-position model. The record is from RNAcentral.